GUUUGAGAUGGUGGUACAGCAUUCAAUAGAGCAAUGCCUACAUGAGCCUAAACAUUUGAAAAAAAAAAUUGGUUUAGGUCAGACAAAAAUGAGAACUAACUUAUAUGCUAAUUCACAGUGGUGAUAUUUUCAUGACCCGUUAGUACAACACGAAAUGCAAAGCAAAUCCUGAGCAACACGACCAAAGAAGAGCACAACUUAAAGCAGAAAGCUUGGCCCCGAUAGGUUCUUGAGAGAUAUCACUCGCAGGCCACGACAGCAAUUGUAGCUUUAGUAAGAAAACCAUGGAUAUAAAAAUUAUUCCAUCAAUCAAGCUCCAUAAUGUGACAAAAAGAAAAGGCAGAAGAUUAAAUGGUAAAGCCAGCAUUAAAAGACUCACUAAUAGCAAUCCAGGAACCAAGGACAUAAAAAUGUGGCCAUAUCCAAAUAAAAGAAAAUCUAUUUGUUGAGGUUCUAAUCCUAAAAGCAUCCCAAGCGCCCCUGGCAAAAAGAAUAAAUUGCCUAACUAAAUUAUAGCAACAAAACCGAGUAUAUAUAAGACCUGAAAAAGGAAACAAAGCAAUAUGAUUUCUAACCUAAGUCCGUUAUGGACAGUCUCACAAGGCCCGGCCACCACAAAAAUUUAUUGUUCAGUUUAUGAUUACUGAAUGAUAAAAAAGAUUAAGGAUCAUAUUCAUCUUCCCCAUAACUCCUAUGUAAUUUUAUGUAUACAAAUUUAUGAUCACAGAUAUGAAUAAGAAUUUGUCAUUCCAAAGUUUGAGCCAGACAAUGAUUUUAAGUUUGAAACUUAUGUUUAAGGUAGUGGGAAACAAGAGAUUUUACCUGCUUCAGUGCCCCAACAUCAUUUGUUCCAUCUCCACACAUCAAUGUCAUCCUACCAACUGUUUUGAAAGUAGUCAAGAUAAGUUCUUUCUGUUCAGGAGCAACUCGUGCGAAAACCUGAAAGCACUCAGAGUCAUAAAAAUCUAUACUUUGAUAAGUUUGCAUGGCAAUUACCAUAUUAAUAUAAAAAUCCUACUAACCUUAAUGUAAGGGAUGACUUUGAGAACAGCCUCGGUCCGCUGUAGCAUCUCAAAGCAGUCUCCACCUAUGCAAAGAUCAUGGGAAUCUGACAAUUCUUCCACCUCGUUCUCACUGUAGACACAAUUAACUUCUAAGUAUUAUAAUUUAAAGAUAACCGAUGUCAUAUCUUGGAAAGGUCAUAGCUUUGGCUCCAGAAAAACUGGUAAUGAUUAAACUAAAUAAAGAACAGAAACAAGAUACUCAAGCAGAUGAGAGGAAGACACAUAAAACAACACGCACAAAAUCAACUAUUGGAUACUUGAAAAAUAUAAGCUAUCAUACGUGAAACACCACAUUUUUAAGGAUUCUAGAAGUGUCGACACUUUAGGACACAGCACAAUGUGGUUGAACUCUUUCAUUUUGAAGUUCCUGCUGAAGUCAGCAAAAACGGCUGCCACUUGACACUUUUGAAGUGCCAUGUAGAAGACACAGUUUCAAGUGCUGCACACUUUGCGUCAUUAUGUUUUUGGGUAUAGAAUUAUCUUGGUUAACUAUCAAUUCAAGUAUUUUAACAUAUAUUAAGUAAUCUUAGAUGAACCUAAAAUUUUACUUAAAUUACUCACUACCAUUUUGUUUGUUAGAUAGCUUGUAUCUCUCUCUCCUUCCCCUCUUCAGUUUAUCUUUUAUGGGCAAGCAUCAAAACUAUGGCUUAUAUGUCUGCACAAGUACGCGUGUCCCAGUGCCUAGAAUUUUCAAGGCUACCAUGUCUGCACUUGAGGAUACCAGACAUCAGGCAUUCAUGCCAAGGGUUGAGGUAAUAUUGAAUAUAAGCAGCUUGCACUGAAUACCUAUUUACUAACAAGAGUAGAACUUUUACCUGUAGGGAGUUAUAUCAGUUUCAUCAGGUGAAACCCAUUCAAAACCUUCACCAGUUUCCUUGCGGGCCAAAAUCAAUGCAGGCUUUGAUAUGAUAUGAACUUGGCUGGCAACAUGGCAAGCUGUUAAAGCCUGGUCACCAGUAAUCAUUACCUAACACGAUGACAUCUGUUAGGACAUGGCAUGAUGGAUAGUUAAAACAAGUACUUCAGAAAGUUCUUAAUAUUCUCGAUUUCUAUAAAAUCGGUUACCAAAAAGGGAAAUGUCAUCUUAUAUCUGCAAUGGCCCGCUAAUGAGAAACAUGUAUUUGUUCAAAUGACUCACAAAACUCAUUAAAACGAAAAUAUAAAGAACAGAAACACAAAGCUAGUGGAAGGAAAAAGGAAAAAUAAAAAUAAGCAAUUCUUUAACCACAAAGCUAUAGCAUUGAAUCUCAGUUGAGUCAAACCUUUACUAAAAUUGCUUUGCAAUGUAAAAAAAUGUCAAUCUUUAAAGAUUACUUGAUGUUAAGUUUUGAUCAUAUGUUCAACCAAAUACAGAAUUCUAAUGUCUAACAUGUAGAUCCAGAUAUGAAAGUAAAGGAACUAAAAACAAUAUCUAUAACUCCAUUUUGUCCAACUUCAUUUAGGACACUUAUUAACUCCAUCAACAAAUUACCAAUUGUAGAUAGUAUCCAUACCUUAAGUGUAUGUUAUCUGUUUUAAUGGCAUAAGCUACAAAAACCUAUUGUUAGAAAGCCAUAAUUAUGUUUAAAUUGAAUAACCAUAACCAUCAAGCUUUCCCCCAACUAUAUAUUUUUGUCUUUUACAUGAAUCAAUUAUCAAAAAUAUAUUAAAAGAAUAAGAUUUUGAAAGAAAGAUAUUUUAUCUAAGGUCAGCGGAACCAUCCCAAACCGGAUGGUUCCAGCCAUUUCGAGCCGUACCGGCGGCUCACCGGUAUGGUUCCGGCAAUAGAAGUAAAAUCUAUUACUGAAGCCGGAUUAGGAGAAGGAAAGAAAGAUGGGAGCACGGGCGAAAGGCCGACGGAGGGUGGCGGACGCUGGUGAAGGGCCGAUGGAGGCCACAGGAGGCAAGGCGACGGUCGAAACCAUGUUUCAUUCGAAAUAGGAGAACCGGCCGCGGCCUCCGCCGGCGUCCGCCACCCUCCGCCGGCCUCCCUCCCCCUUCUCUCUCUCUCUCUUUUCCUCUCUCCCGUGGUCUGCGUGUCGUCUCCUCCGUCAGUACAGGCCCAGCACGAUCGAUACCGACUCGUGCUGCCGGAGAACCGGUAUGGUAUCCGAUACCGGUUCGCCGACCUUUAAUUUUAUUAUUAUAGCCAAUGCAUAGAUAGACCCAAAGAACUUACCAAGUCAUGUGAUGAUCCUUUCAAUUCACAUAAGACAGAACCAGAGUCAGGUCUGAUAGGACAAUUGAAAACCUAUAAAAGCAAAAUAAGCGUCAACCAAAACCUCAAGCAGCUUUUAUUUCAAUCAUCACUGGAAGAACAAUUGAAUGAUGAUAAAAUAUCACAAGAAAAAUAAGAUACAAAUCAAAAGCUUAAUUGGGUUCAAUUACCGCAAAACCAGCAAAAGUCAAACCACUCUCCACCAGAUCUCUAUCCAAGCUUCUAGCUUCACUUACCUGUAGUACAAAUAAACCUCAAGUCAAAACGAUAUAUCGAGAUCUAUAAAUGAUAAUAAAGCAAAAAAUCUUAAAAACAUUUUACAUGGAUAGAGAUUUCACUCUCAAUCUAUUGAUGCAUUCUCCCAUAUAUUUAUGGAACAAGGGGCCAAACAUGAAAAAUAAGACUAUAGCUAAUAAGCCUAAUGCUGCCAUGAGUAUAGCUCCAUAUUUUGCUUCCCAAAUUUCCAAAUAUUUCCAAAUGGCAUAUAUCAUCAUAGCAUUCAUUGGUUAUCUCGAGAUCAAUGUCUUCUCCCCAGUAUAACACCAAGGAUGGAUACUGAAUAUACAGCUGUACAGUGUGAAAGCCGGCCCAUAACUUGGUGAGGAAUAAAAGCAUGGGAGAAUCAAAUAUAUCAGAUCAUCCCAACAUUGUCAUAAUUCAAAAAGUUCCUCCUUGGUUAAAGCUGAACUUUGGGCAACAAGAAAGAUGGGACAGAGUUUCAAUAAUUUCAUCUAAAAAUAGCUUAAAAUUUCGUCGUAUUCCCUUUCAUUAAGACUUGCUACCAGAAAGCACUCCAAUCUGUAAGCUACUAAACUUCAUACCUCCAAAGAGGAUCAUAUAUUAUUUAGUGAAGAACAACAGACUACAAAAUUGACACUACAGCUUCAAGUGGAUUCAUGGUAUAUACAACAUAUAUGCACACACACACACACACACACACACACACACACACACACAUAUGUAUGUAUAUAUAUGUAGGUAAGUAAGUAAGUAUGUAUGUAUGUAUGUAUACACUUCUUGCAACAUGGCUGACACCUCUUAAGAGGUCCAAAAUGUCUUCCAUAUAAUUCCAACCUAUUGCACUACUAAUAAUUAAAAAGAAAACACCACUCUAACUCCAUAUCAAAACAUACUCCAUGUUACAAAGAAUAUUCACCUUUUGCAAGAUAUUACAAUCACCGCCUAGUUUGUACCCAAGUGCAACAGUACUGGCUGGCAACGAUUUGAUAUAUGCGGCUCCCUCUCAUGCAAUUAGAAUGAAUGAUUAAAUAUAGAGCACAUGAAGGAAAAGAUUAAUUAAUUGAUCUUGUCUGAUGUGUUUUCAGCUGUUAGCAGUUUUAGAUGUAAACUUUUAGUGUUUAACUUUAGGUGUCUAGAUGAUAGAGGUUGUGGUUGGUGAUUAAGUGGGGGCUUCAGUCUUCUUUAGUCUGAAGCAAGGAAAGAGUCGAUGUCAUCUAGUGUUGCAGACUCUUCAUGUGUAGCUAAUUGUCUAUCAUCAUCUUUUAUGGUACUUUUUAUGGUAUUGCAUGGACUCGGGCACAAGAAUUAGAUUCAGACAUUAUCCUCAAGAAUCUGACAAGGUAAGAGGAAAAAAGGUUAUACAGGGAUACAUUAAAAUAUUUUUAACCAAAAUACGUAUAUAUUAUAUAGAGGAAAAUGUUCAAAGAUAUUAUUUGCUCCUAUCUUCCAAUAGACAUCUUUCUCAUUCAAACUUACCAAUUAGCCCAAAAAUUUACAAAAGAUGCUACUUGGCAAAGUUAACUUAGUAGCUAAGUUCUCUACCAAUCUCUAAAAAGGGAAAGGGAAACUCUGUUUUAACAUUAUUAUAGUGGGUUGAACUCAAUUGAAAGAGUCAACCUCUCCACCAGUCUUAAAGCUUAAAUCACAAAAAUUUGAUGCAUCCAAAUGUCAAAAGUAUAUUGAAUUCAGAAAUAUAUGUAUCCUAGGACAUAUGUAUCCUAGGAGUCGAGUGUGAACGUCCAGGUAACACAGAUCACUGAAGGAAAAUAUAAUGAUUAAUGAUGAUACGUUAUCAUAUGUUAUCACAGGUUAUCAGAAGGAGAUUGUACAAGUGUUAACGUGCAAUUAAGAAGACUUUAUUAGAGAAGCACCACUUGUGAAACAGAACAAGUUGUUUAUAAGCAGCUCAUGUUUGGCUCAACAUUUAAUUCAUUAUUGGUUUGUCCGAUCAGCAGACAAUCGACAAGAUUUUAAACUUGGAAAUAAAUGAACUGAACAUAAGCUGGGCCUAAUCAUAUUUCUCUCAAUAUAUCAAAAUGUAAAUACAUAAACAAGUACACUUAUUUUUUUGAUUACCUAUAGAUAAAAAAAUAGUUUGAUAUUUAUAAUUAGUAAUUAAUGAAUCUAUCCAAGUAACUACCACAUAUAUUAGAUCUGAAUCCAAUUGCUCCAAUUUUUAUUUGCAUAUAAACAUUGGAACAAUUAGAUUCAUAGACCUAAUAGCUCAAAAGUGUUAUUUGCUUAUAAACAUCCGGCACUAGAUUCAAAUCUAAUGCCUCAUUUUGAUGGGAGCAAACUGAAAGGUGCUAUAGCACUUUUGGUAUCCCAAAGCUGCAGCUGCCACCAUCUUUCUCUCCUCUAUUUGCAUCCCUCCUCUGCCUUAGACAUCCAACUCCAUUGCCCCCGUCCUACCUCAUCCUCGUCAUUUCAUGAAAUAAGGCAUCUCAUCCCUCUUGGUCAUCUCUCUCUUAGCCUUUGGACUUCUGCCUCUCCAUCGCAUCAAUCUAGGCACCAAGGGCAAUCAAAACAUCAUAAGUCUCUUCCUGCUAACUCCAUUAAUCUCAACAUCAUCUGGAGAUUCAGAUCUAAGGUCUGGUUUGAGACUUGAAAGAUAAGAGAUAGGAGAUGGAGGGAUUGGUUUGCCUCUGUAAGCAUAUUAGGCUUGGGUUUUUCUCUGUAAUCACUAGGAAAACAUCCACACUUAACAAUGUCAAGCCAAUGUGAGUGGAGCACGAGAAAACGAGUCAACCUUGACCCACUCUUUCUAACUCAACUUAAGCUCAAGCUAACCAUCUUUACACCUCUAGUGGAAAAAUAAAAGAUAUACCAUCAUCAACAUUAAUGCUUACAUGACAAGCCCCUUGAUGUAGAUCUAAAACCGUGCCAUGAUACAUCAUAGGAAUGAAGAGCUGAGAUUAAAAGAUUGCAAACUAUGUUUGACAACUUGAUAAGACUAACUACUGUAGCAAACUGUUCAAAGCAUUGUUCACACUAUAGUCCCUGGAAAAACAAAGUGUAUUUUAGGGGGAUAAUUUUGGAAUUAUCAAGUAGAGUUGAGUUAAGGUUUUUCUUUACAUACAUACACACACACAAACACACAUAUAGUCACAAGUGGUGUACAGGUUUUAUGCUUUCAUGACUAAAUAAAGAUGAAGUUUUCUUGGGGUGAAAAAUCACUGUUCCAAUUUAACCCCUGUGUGAGGCAUUGAUAUAGCCUGAGAACAAUCCCUAGGUGUGAUUCCUAGGUUUCAGAGAGCCCGGUAUCAUCUGUUAUCUUUCCUUUCAGCAUCUUUACACCUCUAGUGGAAAAUAAAAGGUAUGCUAGCAUCAACAUUAAUGAUUAUGUGACAAGACCCUUGAUGAACAUCCAAAACCAUGUCAUGAUGCAUCAUAGGGCAGGAUUUUUAUUAGACUUAAUUUUAGCCAUAAAUUUUCUAUAUUUUCCGGUUGUUUUUAACUUUAGUGGAUUACUUUGGAACGAAGGGUUGAGAUUGAAAGAUUGCAAUCUUUAUUUGAUUGCUUGAUAAGGCUGAUUACUGAAGUGAUACCAUCCAUGCAUUGUCCGCACUAUAGUAACCUUAAAACCUAAGUGUUUUUUAGUGGGGAUAAUUUUGGAAUUAUGAAGUAGAUUCAAGUUAAGGUUUUUCUAUAUAUAUAGUCCCAAGUGGUGAUGGGCUUUAUGUUUUCAUGAUUGAAUAAAGAAGAAGUUUUCUAGCAAAAAAAUCACUAUUGCAAUUCAAUCCCUGUGUGAGGCAUGGAUCUGACAUGAGAACAAUCCCUAGGUGUCAUUCAUAGGUUUCAGAGAGUCCAAUAUCAUAUUUUUAUCUUUCCUUUCAUUCUUUAUUUUCAUAAUAAUUUGUAUUUUACUUUAUUUUUUUAUUUAUUUCUUUCGUUUC
Molecule: long non-coding RNA, 7397 nt
Filed under: Phoenix dactylifera (date palm)
Lineage: Eukaryota; Viridiplantae; Streptophyta; Magnoliopsida; Arecales; Arecaceae
Description: long non-coding RNA (PDAC_LNC002406)
Source: RNAcentral